UACGUAGGUGGCAAGCGUUGUUCGGAAUUAUUGGGCGUAAAGGGCUCGUAGGCGGUUUGUCGCGUCGGGAGUGAAAACACCGGGCUUAACUCGGUGCUGGCCUUCGAUACGGGCAGACUAGAGGUAUGCAGGGGAGAACGGAAUUCCUGGUGUAGCGGUGAAAUGCGCAGAUAUCAGGAGGAACACCGGUGGCGAAGGCGGUUCUCUGGGCAUGUCCUGACGCUGAGGAGCGAAAGUGUGGGGAGCGAACAGG
RNAcentral lists this ribosomal RNA (253 nucleotides) under uncultured bacterium. RNAcentral's name for it is "partial 16S ribosomal RNA". It matches the Rfam family "Bacterial small subunit ribosomal RNA", at positions 524 to 776 of the family's 1533-position model. The record is from RNAcentral.